RNAcentral lists this non-coding RNA (87 nucleotides) under Candidatus Accumulibacter aalborgensis. Its description in RNAcentral is "Burkholderia RNA 7 (anti-hemB)". It matches the Rfam family "Burkholderia RNA 7 (anti-hemB)". Rfam says of the family: This RNA motif was identified by computational search in b-proteobacteria Burkholderia. Co-purified with Hfq, expression confirmed by Northern blot. Putative functional homologue of SP-RydB and predicted target hemB. Lineage: Bacteria; Pseudomonadati; Pseudomonadota; Betaproteobacteria. The record is from Rfam by way of RNAcentral.
UCUCCCGCUUCACCUCCCUGAGCGGGCGCCUUAUGCAUAUAAGGCAUGUAUUACCCCCGGCCCCCCCUUUUGCCGGGGGUUUUUUUU